RNAcentral lists this non-coding RNA (148 nucleotides) under Pan troglodytes (chimpanzee). Lineage: Eukaryota; Metazoa; Chordata; Mammalia; Primates; Hominidae. The record is from Rfam by way of RNAcentral.
GCCGGGCGUGGUGGCGGGCGCCUGUAGUCCCAGCUACUCGGGAGGCUGAGGCAGAAGAAUGGCGUGAACCCAGGAAGCGGAGCUGGCAGUGAGCCCAGAUCGCGCCACUGCCCUCCAGCCUGGGUGACAGCGCAAGACUCCGUCUCAA